RNAcentral lists this ribosomal RNA (253 nucleotides) under uncultured bacterium. RNAcentral describes it as "partial 16S ribosomal RNA". It matches the Rfam family "Bacterial small subunit ribosomal RNA", at positions 524 to 776 of the family's 1533-position model. The record is from RNAcentral.
GACGUAGGGCGCGAGCGUUGUCCGGAUUUAUUGGGCGUAAAGAGCUCGUAGGCGGCUUGUCGCGUCGUCCGUGAAAACCCACAGCUCAACUGUGGGCUUGCGGUCGAUACGGGCAGGCUAGAGUUCGGUAGGGGAGACUGGAAUUCCUGGUGUAGCGGUGAAAUGCGCAGAUAUCAGGAGGAACACCGGUGGCGAAGGCGGCAUCCUGGACCAAUUCUGACGCUGAUGAGCGAAAGCCAGGGGAGCAAACGGG